Molecule: ribosomal RNA, 253 nt
Filed under: uncultured bacterium
Lineage: Bacteria
Description: partial 16S ribosomal RNA
Rfam family: Bacterial small subunit ribosomal RNA
Source: RNAcentral
UACGUAGGUGGCAAGCGUUGUCCGGAUUUACUGGGUGUAAAGGGCGUGUAGGCGGGAAAUUAAGUCAGAUGUGAAAGUCCAUGGCUCAACUGUGGGAGUGCAUCUGAAACUGAUUUUCUUGAGUACUGGAGGGGAAAGCGGAAUUCCAAGUGUAGCGGUGAAAUGCGUAGAGAUUUGGAGUAACACCAGUGGCGAAGGCGGCUUUCUGGACAGUAACUGACGAUGAGGCGCGAAAGCGUGGGGAGCAAACAGG